Molecule: ribosomal RNA, 449 nt
Filed under: uncultured bacterium
Lineage: Bacteria
Description: partial 16S ribosomal RNA
Rfam family: Bacterial small subunit ribosomal RNA
Source: RNAcentral
AACGAACGCUGGCGGCAUGCCUAACACAUGCAAGUCGAACGAAGGCUUCGGCCUUAGUGGCGCACGGGUGCGUAACGCGUGGGAAUCUGCCCCUCGCUUCGGAAUAACAGUUAGAAAUGACUGCUAAUACCGGAUGAUGUCGAAAGACCAAAGAUUUAUCGGCAAGGGAUGAGCCCGCGUAGGAUUAGGUAGUUGGUGGGGUAAAGGCCUACCAAGCCGACGAUCCUUAGCUGGUCUGAGAGGAUGAUCAGCCACACUGGGACUGAGACACGGCCCAGACUCCUACGGGAGGCAGCAGUGGGGAAUAUUGGACAAUGGGGGCAACCCUGAUCCAGCAAUGCCGCGUGAGUGAUGAAGGCCUUAGGGUUGUAAAGCUCUUUUACCCGGGAUGAUAAUGACAGUACCGGGAGAAUAAGCUCCGGCUAACUCCGUGCCAGCAGCCGCCGUAA